GAGUAACACGUGACCAACCUACCCUCGAGUGGGGAAUAACUCCGGGAAACCGGAGCUAAUACCGCAUAACAUCGCAAGAUCAAAGCCGCAAGGCGCUUGAGGAGGGGGUCGCGGCUGAUUAGCUAGUUGGUAGGGUAACGGCCUACCAAGGCGAAGAUCGGUAGCCGGCCUGAGAGGGCGCACGGCCACACUGGAACUGAAACACGGUCCAGACUCCUACGGGAGGCAGCAGUGGGGAAUUUUGCGCAAUGGGGGAAACCCUGACGCAGCAACGCCGCGUGGAGGAUGAAGUCCCUUGGGACGUAAACUCCUUUCGACCGGGACGAUACUGACGGUACCGGAAGAAGAAGCACCGGCUAACUCUGUGCCAGCAGCCGCGGUAAUACAGAGGGUGCGAGCGUUGUUCGGAAUUAUUGGGCGUAAGGGCGCGUAGGCGGCGCGGUAAGUCACCUGUGAAAUCUCCUGGCUCAACUGGGAGCUUGCAGGCGAAACUGCCGUGCUGGAGUGUGGGAGAGGUGCGUGGAAUUCCCGGUGUAGCGGUGAAAUGC
This 548-nucleotide ribosomal RNA is filed under the name uncultured bacterium. Its description in RNAcentral is "bacterial SSU rRNA". It matches the Rfam family "Bacterial small subunit ribosomal RNA", at positions 108 to 689 of the family's 1533-position model. The record is from RNAcentral.